This 270-nucleotide ribosomal RNA is filed under the name uncultured bacterium. RNAcentral's name for it is "partial 16S ribosomal RNA". It matches the Rfam family "Bacterial small subunit ribosomal RNA", at positions 88 to 354 of the family's 1533-position model. The record is from RNAcentral.
CCGGCGACCGGCGCACGGGUGAGUAACACGUAUGCAACCUGCCCGUGGCAGGGGGAUAAGCGGGGGAAACCCCGUCUAAUACCGCGUAACGCGGCCUUGGGGCAUCCCAAGGCCGCCAAAGGGAGCAAUCCCGGCCACGGAUGGGCAUGCGGCGCAUUAGCUAGUCGGCGGGGUAACGGCCCACCGAGGCGACGAUGCGUAGGGGUUCUGAGAGGAAGGCCCCCCACACUGGUACUGAGACACGGACCAGACUCCUACGGGAGGCAGCAG